Camponotus floridanus (Florida carpenter ant) is the source of this 1321-nucleotide long non-coding RNA. RefSeq lists it as uncharacterized. The record is from RefSeq and is a predicted model, not a curated record. The transcript is spliced from 4 exons. NCBI's taxonomy places the organism in Eukaryota, Metazoa, Arthropoda, Insecta, Hymenoptera, Formicidae.
ACGCGUGGCAUGUUGCUUGCGAAGAUAAUCUUGCAUCCCUGAUCGGAAGAUCCAGGGAAUUACUCUGAUGCAGACGCUCGACGCAGUUAGUCGUAUCGUCAAAAGUUGUCGUUGUCGUUUUUGGUAUCGCUGUCGAGCUCGAGGAGAAGACGGGGUCGAGGAUCAUCUCCAGCUGCGAGGAUACGUAUCGGUGAGGUUGCCUAUCUUUACUUGUGAGCCACAUACGCGAUUCGGUCCGACGACCGGCCGUUCUGUCGCCGUCGCCAUUUUCGUGUUUUGCUGUCACUCAGGCCUUGUGCGAGCUGUCGAUUUUUCGUGGAUUUCAAGCGGAGACAAGCGAGGUAUCGCGGACAGUCGUAAUGGAGGCAGUAAAAGAUAAGUUACUUGUCAGUAUCUACAAAUAGAAAUGGAACAUCAAUAUGCAAAAACAUUUUCAAAUAAUAAUGAAACUAACAUUACAUUACAAAAUGAAAAUAACGAGGAUAUUGAUAUCAUAUUAAAUUCAGGAGAUUCUUUAUUAAUUGAUUUAGUGCGAAGUUAUCCUCAUCUAUAUGAUAAAUUCAUCAUUAUCAAAUUUCAAAGAUUCAAUAAUGAAAGAAAAUUCAUGGAAUAAAAUUGGAAAAGUAAUGAUAUGUCCACCUACUGAAUGCCAAACUCGAUGGGUUAGAUUAAGAGAAAGAUUCUCAAAAGAAAGAAGAGAAAUUGAAGCUGAAAAUAAAAGUGAAAGUAUCCCAUCGGAAAAGUUUUUCACUGUAUGAAAAUAUGAAAUUUUUGAAUAAUUAUCAACGAAGAAAGACUAUUACAAAUAUUUUACGAAAUAAAAGAGAAAAUAAGAAAAAUGUUCCUUCAAAAUCGUCAACUUCGCUUAAUUUGGAAAUGAAUUUCGAAGAAAAUUCGUCUCAAUCUUCUACAUUACAUUUGAGUUCCACAUUAUCAAGCAAUCUACCCCAAUGUUUUACAUUACGACAUUUAAUGAGUCCCAUAUCAAGUAAUCUACCUCAAUCUUCUACAUUACAACAUUUAAUGGAUCCUACAUCACCAAGCAAGCAGAAAAAAUGUUACACACCAUUACAGAUAAAAUCACGUAACAUCUAAGAAACGUAAAUCAGAAUCAGACGAUGUAGAAAAGUCACUUUUGUCACUAUCCAAUAUAAUUGCAGAUAAAAUACAAAAUUUUGAUAAAAAUAUUAAAUCAGAUAUAAAUAAAGAUGAAACAAAGAAUUCAGAAGAUAAAUUUUUAGAUCCAAUAGCUGCAGAAAUAAAACAACUUCCGGAAGACGAGCGUAAAAAAAAGAAGAAGGAAAUAAUUAAUAUUUUGUGG